AAUAGAUACCUAGGUAGUCCACGCCGUAAACGAUGAGUGCUAAGUGUUAGAGGGUUUCCGCCCUUUAGUGCUGCAGCAAACGCAUUAAGCACUCCGCCUGGGGAGUACGGUCGCAAGACUGAAACUCAAAGGAAUUGACGGGGGCCCGCACAAGCGGUGGAGCAUGUGGUUUAAUUCGAAGCAACGCGAAGAACCCUACCAGGUCUUGACAUCCUUAUGCCAUCUCUAGAGAUAGAGCUUUCCCUUCGGGGACAUAAGUGACAGGUGGUGCAUGGUUGUCGUCAGCUCGUGUCGUGAGAUGUUGGGUUAAGUCCCGCAACGAGCGCAACCCUUGAUCUUAGUUGCCAGCAUUCAGUUGGGCACUCUAAGGUGACUGCCGGUGACAAACCGGAGGAAGGUGGGGAUGACGUCAAAUCAUCAUGCCCCUUAUGACCUGGGCUACACACGUGCUACAAUGGAUGGUACAAAGGGCAGCGAAACCGCGAGGUUAAGCAAAUCCCAUAAAACCAUUCUCAGUUCGGAUUGCA
Molecule: ribosomal RNA, 527 nt
Filed under: uncultured bacterium
Lineage: Bacteria
Description: bacterial SSU rRNA
Rfam family: Bacterial small subunit ribosomal RNA
Source: RNAcentral